RNAcentral lists this long non-coding RNA (726 nucleotides) under Aquilegia coerulea. Its description in RNAcentral is "long non-coding RNA (ACOE_LNC001613)". Lineage: Eukaryota; Viridiplantae; Streptophyta; Magnoliopsida; Ranunculales; Ranunculaceae. The record is from RNAcentral.
GAAUCAUGACUUAAGUACUUGUUUGAUGUGUUGUUGAAUAUCAGCGAGGCUGAUGUGUAUCUUUUGUUGGUGUUAUUUAGGAGAUGAACAAGAUAGAGGCUUACAGGCAAACAAAACGUGAUUCCUGGACCCAGGAGGUUCUGGAAAUCUACAAGAAACGUUUUAUGGUACCUCACCUUACUACGAUACUGAAAAUUAUGAGUAUUAUUUAAUAGAACAAAGAAGGUAGCUAAGCUUAUAUAUAUGUUCAUUUCGCAGUGAACAUGAUCGAAGCACUCACUUCACAUGCAAGUUCAUGGUUUAGUGGUGUGGUGUAGUUGUACAAAUAAGAUCCAUGUGAAGGGUCAUCUGAAAUUUGGCGAGGGAGGUGGUUCUUGCUGGAGAUUAUAUAUUUUUAAGUUUUAACUGUUAAAUGUAUAAAUAAAUGGUUGAUAAUGUAAAGACAAAGAACUCGUUUUAGCUAGCCAGCUUAUUUUGAUGCUGUUUAUCAUGUCUUUCCUUUUGAAGGAUUCAAUUGCAUUUAGUAGUAACUUUUGUAAUGUGCAUGUUUAAGCUUCUGAAAGUUGCUCUCAGCCAGAUUUGCAGAACCAGAGGAAAUACUGCCUAUGGCAUGGUUUUAUUAUAUGCAGUACAAUUUUUGUAAUAUUAUAAAAAACAGGAACUAGGAAUUACAUCAAUCAACAUUAUAAGAAGGUUUUUUACCCAUCUCUGUAUUUUCUGUGUUAC